AAAGAAAUUAAAGAUGCGUUAAUGAUUUUUUUCGUAGAUUAUAAUCUGAAUCAGAUAAAAAAAGACUCUACGGAUUUAUCUGGCUAACACCUUUUGUAACACAAUAUUCUUCCGGGAAGUCACGGCUAUAUAAAUUGAGACUGCAGGGAAGCAGGGUAUUCAGUCGAGUAACAGACACAGUUGUGAAGCUAUAGGAUUUUACACUUUUGUACAAAAACAAUACAAACUUUCUCUAAAGGUAAGAUAUGAUAUCAGUAUUCACAUAUUAUUUAUAUAUUUGAUAGAAAUUAAUUCUAUGGAUUUGAUUUUGUCAUGAUUUUGUAUGUGGUAUCGUAGAAAAGUUUAACUGUUGUUAUAAAAACACAGAGAUUAAAGUUAAGUGGAAUAAUCUGGCGUAGCCAGGAAGUUUGACUGCUACAAUACGAUAUUGUAUUUAAAAAUAAUAGUGAAAAAACCUGAUAAAUUUGGGAUCCUAAAAAAUCAUUUAAAUGCCAAAAGAAGUUGAAAUCUUUUAUAUUUAAAAAAAAUUUUCUAAGAUUGUAUAAGGAAUACCUGAUAACUAUAUUGCUAUAUUGCAGAGGUGUAUGCAAAAUAAACUCAUGUUGUAAUGUCAAAAACCUAAUCAAUUUGUCGUAUCCUGAAAACAAUUUUCAUUGGGAAAAGAGAUGAAUUCUUCUAGGCCAGGUUUUCCAAUAUCUUUAAAGGAAUGAAACGUAUUUCAUAAGUCAAAGACUUAAUGUUGAAAAACAUCUAUAUAUAUAUAUAGACAACAAAGAGAUAACGGAGAUAUUUUUAACUUGUUUUUGUCUGGAAACACCUGUAUGAAUGUUAAUUACGUCGCCAUAAAAUCGCACUAGGAAUAAUUAGGAACAUGACUACUAAUAUAUCAAGCGUUGAUGGAGACUUCGAUCAACAAUGAAAAAUGUUUUCAAAAUCCUAUGAAAAUAGGUCGGAAUCUCCAUUGUAAAGCCUCAAACGAGGAGUAAGAAUUGAUAGUCACGCAUUAUUACGGCGAACAUUUCAAGCUCUAGAUUAACAAAAUAAAUGUUUGAUGGGUGUUGAUAGUGUUGGGAAAGCAUUGAGAACAGCUAAGCAAGGUCUCAUGAAUCCCAACUCUCAUGCACUCGCAUGCUCGUUUAAUCAGUUAAGCUAUAUGACCUACGUGACAUAUCAACUCUGUUUUCUAUCCACGUCUUAUCCCUGAUUAUCCUUGAUCCCUCCCUUCAUGAUAAUCCUCACGUGUGAAUCGUGCAUUAUCCCCCCUCUGAUUUCCACGAAUACAACCCAACGAGAACAACAGCGUGCAAAACAAUCCCCAAUUUAACCAUCCUCAAUUUAACCACAUUGGCAAAUUGUGUUAGGAUUUUGUGGAUCACAAUACAUAUUUAACAAAGCUUUCGACCCUAGUCUUCAUCAUGUUGUUACAUUUGCGCAGGACACUACAGGUCUUAACUCGUGCCUCGAAAUUUCUUCAUAAAUAUAGGUACAAUCUUUAAUAGACUUCACCAAAACUGAGAACAAACUAUUUAAACAAUAGUUAUCAAUUAUUUAUUUAUACAAACUACAAAGAACUUAUUAAACUAUUUAAAUUUUACACAUGAAGCUUCUUGAAAGAAGAUUAAUUAAUUCAACACUGACUCAAAUCUAUGGGGGAAGUUGUAAAAUGGGAUUUAGACCACUGGGAAUGAGAUUUGCAUGAAUAUAGGUACUACCUCGGGCAGGGCCGCCGAGAGGGGGGGCAAGGGGGGGGGGCAAAUUGCCCCGGGCCCCGAGGUGCUGGGGGGCAGGGGGGGGCAAAUUGCCCCGGGAAAGGACAAGAUAUUUGUUUUCUUGAGCUAAGUACCGAAAUUUGGCAUUAAAAAAUGAGAUAAAGUCACUGGAAAGCAACAGCAACGCACUCGUCCGGAAAAUUUUUUUACCCCUAAAAUGGUACACUGACCAAAAAUUUUUUGACGUAACAAGACGUUACUUAUUGCAAAGAACACAGAACAGCUGAAACCAUUUUGGAAAGUACUAAAAAAAUGAACAUUAUAGAUGUAAAGGUGCUAAACCAGAAGGUGUGAGGAAGACUAUGGAAAACUAUCCUAAUCCUUUGACCUUCUCAGCGUAAACGAUUCAGACACAAUUCUCUCCGUUUAACCUUGUUGUUUGUUUUAAGUUGUACUCGAUGUAAGCAGCUUAAGUUGUCUGAUACAACUGUUAUUUUUGCAUUACGUUUGUUAAAAUAAAUUUUAAAUCUUAAUCUUACUGGUAAAAUUAGUAACUCACGAAACAGACGUUCUGUCUCUACAAAGGCAGCACUAUGAAAACCUGCUUUUCACACUGAUCGCAAUUCAUUGGCGGAGUGACGUCCGUGUUCACAAAAACGGCCGAGGAACUGUGAAGGGGGGGGGGGGGGCACACUUUUUUAAAGGUGAGGAAAGUGCCAUUUUUUCUCGGCAAAAGUGCUCCAUUAAAGAACGAAAGAAGUAUUUCUUGAAUUCUUCUGGAAAGAAAGUGCCCUUUUUGCAGUAGUAAAUACACCUUCUUUUGCUGGAAAGAAAAUGCCCUUUUUGCAGUAGUAAAUACUCUGUAACUAAAGGCCAUUUCCGACGUUAUCGAACUACAUAUCGACAUAAAAUCGUUUGAUUUUGGUCAUAUACAAAAGUGCCCCUUUUGUCUAUGGAAAUGCUUCCGCGGCCUCUGCAGUGAUUCAAGAAUUUUUCUUUCAAAAAUGUUAUUUUCAUUGUCUCUGAUCUUAUUUUUUUUAGAUGCAUUUCACAACGAGUUUAACUAAAUCAAUCAUGUUGUUGAUGGUGCUGAUCCUCACAGCGAACUACGCGUCGACAACUGAUCCAUGUUACCAACAAUGCUCGAGUACAUACAACCAAUGCAAAAACGCGCCUGGGAGUAAGUUGGACGACUGCUAUAAUUGGAACAAGCAAUGCAUCUCUAAGUGUCCCGUUACUAAACGAGGAAACCCGCGCUUCGGGUAUACAGGAUACUGGGACGAGAUCGAAUACUAAUCAAUCACAAGGCAGAUGAUGACGUAAUGCAAUGAUGAUGGAUGACGACGUAAUGUUUUACCGAUGAGACUAUAUAAUAGACUUUAUUUAGAUAUGUAUUUCACCUAAUAACAUGUAUGUAGCUAAUUAAUAAAAAAUAAAUAUUCUAAUUUCAAAUUGUACGUAACAACCAAACGACUUGGAG
Non-coding RNA from Paramuricea clavata, 3189 nucleotides. NCBI's taxonomy places the organism in Eukaryota, Metazoa, Cnidaria, Anthozoa, Malacalcyonacea, Plexauridae. The record is from the annotation of a GenBank genome assembly.